UGAAACAGAUUGGUAUUAGGCAACAAGGUGGACGUAUACUAUUGCACACGGAAUAGUUUCCAGCAUACACUCAUCCGUACCCAACUCAAACUCAAUAACCUUUGGACUAAUAUAAAGGUUGGGGCACACACCCCAAAACGCCCACGGAAUUAACAAAUGCCAUAACACCCAACACCACGCGUAUGAGAUUGAAGGCAGAUCCACACACGCCAGUAUGAAGAUUGAAGGAGAUCCACACAACGCCAUAUUGACACACGCCAAGAACAUCAACUUCAACAACAAGUAGACUCCACACGAAUCGAAGGGGUGACAUACUGCAGGACGCCCAGCACAUCGAACAAGGGAAGAAGAAACGCCAGAAAAUCAUCAAUAGUAAUAUAUAGCUGAAAUCUCAAGGUCUGUUUAGAUCUUUCCAUCCUGCAAUAAACAUCAACUGCAACAACAAGUAGACUCCACACGAAUCGAAGGGGCGACAUACGGCAGGACGACCGGCACAUCGAACGAUGGAAGAAGAAACGCCAGAAAAUCAUCAACGGUAAUAUAUAGCUGAAAUCUCGAGGUCUGUUUAGAUCUUUCCAUCCUGCAAUAAUUUUGGGUAAAUAUUAGUGCAAUAUCAUAUGAACCACUCUUUUUAAAAUUGUUUUGAAGGCAAUAUCUCUAUGACGUACAUGAAGUUGAGUGAGUUAACCGCAAGAGGACAGACAUGGAAUAUUAAAGCCAAAGUAAUGAGAAUGUGGGACUCGACCAACCCUUUGACUGAUGAACUUAUAAGCAUCAAUAUGAUCUUGAUGGAUGAGCAGGUAUUUUCUUCACAUAAUCAACAAUGGGAUUGUUUUACUGUUAAAACUACUACUAAGAUUUUUCUUCAUUAAAUUCUGAAGGGCCAUACAGUUCAUGCUGCUAUCUGGAAGAAUCUAAUUGACACUACAGAGCAAAGAUCAACGAGGGUUUUAUACAUGCUUUUAGCAAUUUUUAAGUUGUAGAUUCGACAAAAUAUCAGCCAGUCAACAAUGAAAUUAAAAUUAUCUUUUUAUACAAUACAAAAUUAAAGGAGAUGAAAGGUUCAUCGGAUAAUUUUCCAGAUUACUACUUCAAGUUUGCUGGCAAAGAUACCCUAAAAGAACGGCUAGAAAAAGACCAACAAUGCUCAGGUAUGUUGAUAGUCAUAUUCUUACUUCCAAGUGGUAAAUUUAAAUUUGAAGUCAUUUGUUGGUAGUUGUAUUAAUAGACUCCAAAUUAAUAACUUCCUAAUUUUUAAGUCUUCAAUCUUCAAAUUUGCAGAUGUCAUUGGGUUACUUACCAAGAUUAAGCCAAUAGAAUUAAGGAUAACAAAGAAGAAAACACCUUCAGAUAUACGUGAGAUUGAAAUUCUAAUGUCAGAGUAAGUGUAUAUCCAUGCCUCGAUUUUUCACUGAAGGGUAAAGACUAUUUUCCUCCACUUAUAUUAUUAUUACCAUUAAUUAUUCAGGGGUGAUAAAAAUCAGAGUAUCAUUAUGGGGAACAUUAGCUCACCAUUUAAGUGAGAAUGUAAUAUGCAAUGAAACAAUUAUUAUUGUUACCUCAACAAUGGUGCAAAAAUUCAACGGUAAGUUCAAUAUGUUUACACGUCAUUUUUUAUACCAAAAUAAUCUAUAUCUAUAUCUAUACCUACUAAUAAACCAAGGUGAUAUUCUUGGUUUCGUCCCGCAUUAGAUAUUUUUUUCCAUUAGUUUUGAUCGACAGUACGUUCAAUUGCGAGGUGGUACUAAAUUUUUUGGUCCGCAUCCACAUCCUCUCAAUGGGCCUGCACGCACGUUCCGGCGUGCACGCACGUUUAGGUACCUUACCUGAUUUUCACACGUACUCACAAUAAUCCCACCUCGAUUGCUUUCAUGAAAUCCUACCAAUUUAUAUACAUACGCAAAUUGCCUGUAAUAUCAAAAACUAGCCUCUUGGAUCAAGAAACACAGAACGAGUAAAGAGAAAGAGAGAAGGGAGGGGUCAGACAUGACCGGUAGUCCGGCGCACGGGGCUCCCGGAGCAAGGCAAGGGACGGAGAUGGCUGAAGAAAAGGGAGGCAGUUCGGUGCGAACGGAAAAGGGCUUCAGCGGCCGCCCGAGAUGGCGUCGCCGGGAGGAGGAAGCGGAGGCGGAGAUGGCCGGAGGAGGUAGGGCAGGGCAGACCGGCAGCGCGCGGGCUCCCGCUCUCUUUGUGAGCGUGUCUGGCGGCGCUGGGAUUGGGAGGAUAGGAUCGAGGGAGUUGUUGGGGAUCGGGGGGAUAGGUUAAACUUAUUGGGCCGGCCUGGCCGGUUGGUCCUUUCCCUCUCCCGUCAUUACAGAAAUUAGGAAAAGAGGCAAUGAUGAAAAAAAUAGGUAGCUAGGUUGCAUGAAAAAAAUAUGAAACUUUUCUUGUGGUGUGCAUGAUUUAUACUUAGGUCCACAAAAGAAGUUUCACCGAAAUUGGAGAAUUUUGGAAAAAGUUUUGGGGGCCAAACUUGUAAUUGAAAAUGCAAAGGAUUUUGGAGAAGGUUGGAAUGGAAAUUGGAAAAGAAAUUAAAUAAAAUACAAGGAAAGCUCAAAUGAUUUUCCAAAAAUGUCCAUAGUUUUAAUUUGGUGUGAAAUAUUCAAUCAUGAUGAAAUGUAAAAAUAAAAUAAAAUAAACAUUAUAAUGACGACAGAAUUGGUCUCGGUUUGUUACAACUCCGAUCUUAUGUUAUCUUCUUACGGAGGUUCAAUCUAUUCAUGAGAAUUCGUUAUUUUCAAUAAUCUUCUAAGAAACUGGCAGCUAAAUUUGAUAACAAAACUUUAUUUUUGAUAUAUAAUUUUUUGAAUAACAAGUUAGAGGGAAAUAGCAUCGAUUUUCAUAAAAAAUAUUAUGCAACUCACACAAAAAAUUACAUAUAUAAAAAAAGGGUAGUAUAAUUAUAUACACCACUUGACCUAAUAUUGGAAAUUAGCAUAACACUAAAACCGAUUAUGUAAUAUUUGUUCUCUUUUCUCUAUUUCCACAUAUCAACAAAAAUCGUUGAUAAGGAUCAGGUAGGGCAAGGAAUGGGAAAAAGGGUGUGUGAUACUACUCAGUCUCAUUUUUAUAUUAUGGGACAUAGGGAGUAAUCUUUUUUUCCCGUUGCAACGCACUGGCCCAUGUGCUAGUAAAUCUAAUAGAUUUAUUGCUUAUUAAAUAGGUUUGUGCCUAAAGUCAACUAGCGCCACAAGAUUAUAUACCAAUCUAGAUAUACCCGAGACUUGGGAACUUCGUGGCAGGUAUUAAGCACAAUUUGUAGGUACUGGUGAUAUAGAAGUUCAUAAUAUAUCUUCAUUUACUAACUUUUACUUAUAGCCACUCCGCCGAAGAAACUCUACCAAAAAUGAUGGAGAUAGAUAAAAGUACUCAAGGUACACUGGAAGAUCAAAUGUUUUACAGAAGGAUAACCUUAAAAGAACUUACUGGAAUCAAGCACGACAACCCAACAGAUGAGGUAAUGAAUCAGAACUCUUCUAAGAUAUGAUAUUGUAGAAGCCUCCAAGAC
Molecule: long non-coding RNA, 3508 nt
Filed under: Triticum aestivum (bread wheat)
Lineage: Eukaryota; Viridiplantae; Streptophyta; Magnoliopsida; Poales; Poaceae
Description: long non-coding RNA (TAES_LNC024171)
Source: RNAcentral